CACAGGCCCGGUGAAAUUGCAGUACGAGUAAAGAUGCUCGUUACGCGCGGCAGGACGAAAAGACCCCGGGACCUUCACUAUAGCUUGGUAUUGGUGUUUGGUUCGGUUUGUGUAGGAUAGGUGGGAGACUGUGAAGUGGUCACGCUAGUGGUUGUGGAGUCGAAAGUUGAAAAUACCACUCUGAUCGGAUUGAGCACCUGAACCUUGGCCCAUGAUCUGGGUUGGGGACAGUGCCUGGUGGGUAGUUUAACUGGGGCGGUUGCCUCCUAAAGUGUAACGGAGGCGCCCAAAGGUUCCCUCAGCCUGGUUGGCAAUCAGGUGGUGAGUGUAAGUGCACAAGGGAGCUUGACUGUGAGACUGAC
This 362-nucleotide ribosomal RNA is filed under the name Corynebacterium diphtheriae. RNAcentral describes it as "bacterial LSU rRNA". It matches the Rfam family "Bacterial large subunit ribosomal RNA", at positions 2026 to 2385 of the family's 2925-position model. Lineage: Bacteria; Bacillati; Actinomycetota; Actinomycetes; Mycobacteriales; Corynebacteriaceae. The record is from RNAcentral.